GAUGAACGCUAGCGGAAGGCUUAAUACAUGCAAGUCGAGCGGUAGGUGGCUUCGGCCAUUGAGAGCGGCGCACGGGUGAGUAACGCGUACAUGACCUGCCUGUCAGAAGGGGAUAGCCCUGGGAAACUGGGAUUAAUACCCUAUGGUAUUGAUAUUAUGAAUGAUAUCAAUUAAAGUUGAGGCGCUGACAGAUGGAUGUGCGUCUGAUUAGCUAGUUGGUAGGGUAACGGCCUACCAAGGCGACGAUCAGUAGGGGGCGUGAGAGCGUGGUCCCCCACACGGGUACUGAGACACGGACCCGACUCCUACGGGAGGCAGCAGUAAGGAAUAUUGGUCAAUGCCCGCAAGGGUGAACCAGCCAUUCCGCGUGGAGGAUGAAGGCCCUAUGGGUUGUAAACUUCUUUUAGAUGGGAAGAAAGUGCUAGAUGUAUCUGGUACUGACGGUACCAUCAGAAUAAGCACCGGCUAACUCCGUGCCAGCAGCCGCGGUAA
Molecule: ribosomal RNA, 492 nt
Filed under: uncultured bacterium
Lineage: Bacteria
Description: bacterial SSU rRNA
Rfam family: Bacterial small subunit ribosomal RNA
Source: RNAcentral